CCUGGCUAGGGGGAGGAGGAGAGAGCCCACCUCCAGAGGCCUUCUAUGAGAUGCACCAGCUUCUGGCUCAUCUAACUAAUGAAGCUCUGGGCUAAGAAGCCCCAGGACCAUGUUAGUGGCAACAUCCGGGAGUACUUGGGGAUGGAACGCCAGAAUGGCCAGGCUGACUUCAGGCUGGUAUGAGCCCACAUCCUGGGGGUGCCUCCCAUCCACCUGGAGCACAGGCUUAAUCAUCUGCAGGAACAAGAAUUCCUGGAUAAGACUCCUCAGGGAGCCAAAUCCCUGCAGGCUCCCUCACAGCGGUCUUGCAUUUCCUCUCCUGGAUGAAAUCCAGCUUUGAGAGCUCAAAGACAGCUCUCUGGGGGCUGCCCCCAGAGUCAGGGGCAGUGUGGCAGCCAUGUUACCCAUGGGCAUCAACCAUUCCCCACUACCCCACUGAAGAAUGGACCAGCACACACCCACACACCCUGAUCGUCUUCCCAAGGGACUUUGCCGACUAGAGGGGCUGUUGAUUUCACAAAUCCUCUUUAAGUAGGAAAUACGUAUUUCCAUGAGAGUUUUAUUUCUGUCAGUGGGUAGAAAUGGAAUUCUUUCCUUUAAUUAUCUUCACAGUGAAGAUGACCUCUGAAAUUUACAAGGGUUCUAAGUAAGACUCUGAGAGAACACAUUUCAGACAAGCUAUUGCCUUUCUUUGGAAAGGGAAGCUGGGGCUGUGUUUAGGAUUAGGGGAGUGGGAAUGGGGAGAAUUCUUUCAUUCUGGGAAUGAGUGGUUUAAUUUCAGAAGCCUCCAGGGCUUUGUAUUUUCUAUACUGUUCUAGUAUAGGUUAUGGUUUAAGCUGUUGCUAUGAUAACAAGAAACUGUUGUAGCAGAAAUUAUCUGAAGUGUUUCCUCCCAAUGGGUAGAAGAAAGUGGUGCCUUUUAUAAAGGAAUGAAUCCUUCUGGUGUGUCUCUGCUAUGAAGGGACAUAUGGGUAGUGCUGGCUUUCCUGAUACUUGAGGAAAAGGCAAAGAUGUUUUAAGAAAGUGUCCUUAUGAGGUCAUCCCUUGGAAUGCUGAGAGGGACUUGGUUAAUAACAAUAAAAAUUGAUUAACUGUUUCUGUGCCUUAUGUG
This is a long non-coding RNA of Phascolarctos cinereus (koala), 1111 nucleotides long. The record is from Ensembl. NCBI's taxonomy places the organism in Eukaryota, Metazoa, Chordata, Mammalia, Diprotodontia, Phascolarctidae.